Molecule: ribosomal RNA, 440 nt
Filed under: uncultured bacterium
Lineage: Bacteria
Description: partial 16S ribosomal RNA
Rfam family: Bacterial small subunit ribosomal RNA
Source: RNAcentral
CCUACGGGGGACUGCAGUGGGGCAUAUUGCACAAUGGGGGAAACCCUGAUGCAGCGACGCCGCGUGAGUGAAGAAGUAUUUCGGUACGUAAAGCUCUAUCAGCAGGGAAGAAAAUGACGGUACCUGACUAAGAAGCCCCGACUAACUACGUGCCAGCAGCCGCGGUAAUACGUAGGGGGCAAGCGUUAUCCGGAUUUACUGGGUGUAAAGGGAGCGUAGACGGCAGCGCAAGUCUGGAGUGAAAUCCCAUGGCUUAACCAUGGAACUGCUUGGGAAACGGUGCAGCUAGAGUGCAGGAGAGGUAAGCGGAAUUCCUAGUGUAGCGGUGAAAUGCGUAGAUAUUAGGAGGAACACCAGUGGCGAAGGCGGCUUACUGGACUGUAACUGACGUUGAGGCUCGAAAGCGUGGGGAGCAAACAGGAUUAGAUACCCUAGUAGUC